UACGUAGGGUGCAAGCGUUGUCCGGAAUUAUUGGGCGUAAAGAGCUCGUAGGCGGUUUGUCGCGUCUGCUGUGAAAACUCGGGGCUUAACUCCGGGCCUGCAGUGGGUACGGGCAGACUAGAGUGCGGUAGGGGAGACUGGAAUUCCUGGUGUAGCGGUGAAAUGCGCAGAUAUCAGGAGGAACACCGGUGGCGAAGGCGGGUCUCUGGGCCGUAACUGACGCUGAGGCGCGAAAGCUAGGGGAGCAAACGGG
This 253-nucleotide ribosomal RNA is filed under the name uncultured bacterium. Its description in RNAcentral is "partial 16S ribosomal RNA". It matches the Rfam family "Bacterial small subunit ribosomal RNA", at positions 524 to 776 of the family's 1533-position model. The record is from RNAcentral.